CCACACAGUUAAUUAUUGGUGAAAGCUGC
This 29-nucleotide non-coding RNA is filed under the name Rattus norvegicus (Norway rat). The record is from RNAcentral. Lineage: Eukaryota; Metazoa; Chordata; Mammalia; Rodentia; Muridae.